UACAGAGGUCCCGAGCGUUGUUCGGAUUCAUUGGGCGUAAAGGGUGCGUAGGCGGCGGGGCAAGUUGGAUGUGAAAGCCCUGGGCUCAACCUGGGAACUGCAUCCAAAACUACUGAGCUAGAGUACGGUAGAGGGUAGUGGAAUUUCCUGUGUAGCGGUGAAAUGCGUAGAUAUAGGAAGGAACACCAGUGGCGAAGGCGACUACCUGGACUGAUACUGACACUGAGGUGCGAAAGCGUGGGGAGCAAACAGG
Molecule: ribosomal RNA, 253 nt
Filed under: uncultured prokaryote
Description: partial 16S ribosomal RNA
Rfam family: Bacterial small subunit ribosomal RNA
Source: RNAcentral